Molecule: long non-coding RNA, 766 nt
Organism: Rattus rattus (black rat)
Lineage: Eukaryota; Metazoa; Chordata; Mammalia; Rodentia; Muridae
Exons: 3
Source: RefSeq, a predicted model, not a curated record
UUUCUUAAAGUUUUAAGGAGCAUUUCUAAGUACCAAAAAUUUUCUUGUGAUUUUCCUCCCCACAGCAGGUUAUCUCUCAGACAUCAUCCUGAAGUGAAUCCAAUACCCUUGGAUCUCCCCCUUGUUCUUCCCCUCUGAGGCUUCCCAUACCUAAGAGACUGUUUUGGUCACCUCCUCCCAUCUUCACUCCCACUGCUAUUUCUUGUCUGCAUUUCUUGCCUUUGGACGAUACCCAGCUGCUUACACUUGCGCUGUUGCAAGAUCACAACAGUUUCCUUCUGGAAAACUGACUUAAAGUGAGACUGUGGUGUGCAGGCCUCUGUGCCGGCUGUGUCCUCUCCUAGCUGUACCAGUACCUGGUAUUGUUGCUGCCUGUUUGAAUAUGGAAAAGUUAUAUCUAUGAAGGGACAGGCUUUCUGAAGUCCAUUUUCUAUUUAGUAUUAUUGUGUCUCAUUAGCACUGAUGAUCUACCCAUGGCAGAGUGAACUUCUUGAGAGAAAAGAAAAGUAGACCAGCUUCCAUGCGGAAAAGAAGCAGCUGGAAUAAGCCAGAGACAAGGACUUUCAAAUCCACCAAUGGUCUAUCACGGGUCCCUUUAUGCAUGCACAUGCGACCAAUGCAAUUUCCUUCUGAAGAACCUACAAAACCUCAGCCUGGAGAAUCCUCCAGGUGUUAGUUUUUAGGUGAGUGAGCAGACCACAGGAAGGAUUCCCCAGAAAGGAGAAGGAACAACAAAGAAGGAGACCAGAGCGAGAAGGAGACCAGA